UGGGGAAUAUUGCACAAUGGGCGCAAGCCUGAUGCAGCGACGCCGCGUGCGGGAUGGAGGCCUUCGGGUUGUAACCGCUUUUGUUCAAGGGCAAGGCAGGCUUUCGGGCCUGUUGAGUGGAUUGUUCGAAUAAGCACCGGCUAACUACGUGCC
This 153-nucleotide ribosomal RNA is filed under the name uncultured bacterium. Its description in RNAcentral is "partial 16S ribosomal RNA". It matches the Rfam family "Bacterial small subunit ribosomal RNA", at positions 355 to 509 of the family's 1533-position model. The record is from RNAcentral.